GGGUGCGGUUGUUCAGCGCUUGGCCUUCCGCUAUGUCCUGCGGAGAUCGCCUGGCGGCCGGGCCUCCCGCCGCACCCUUCUGGGAGAUGCUGGCAUUGCUGGCCCAGGAGCCAGGCAUGGAGUCUCGCUGGCCAGGCGGAUCCUCUGCCAUCGUGUGGGACCGUGGCGGUGGCACAUCCUGGUGUUUCGUGGCAGUGUGGAGACUGCGGUGUGGCGACUGCUGUCACCACAGGCUUUCAUUUUGUACCCCUGAAAUGGAAGUGAAGUCUAGGAAGUAGCUGAAGAGGUGAUGAAGACUCAACCACGAUGUCAACUUUGCUGAGUUCUCUGAUCCCAGCACUGAGAAGAACAGAAAUCUGUUUAAGGGACAGCUAUCAUAGAGAGACUUGCUUAUUUCACUACACAGCAAGGAGGACACCAGACAUUCUGCAGCAGCUCACAUAGCAGCACACAGGGCAUGUCAUGCUCGUGCUCUUGGUUUGUUUACCGUGCCCUGGCUUUCUGCUGAAGACGUUUUGUUUCAUUUCAUGUUCUCAGGACAUACCGCCUCAGAGCUUCGUAAUUGCUAAGGCUGCAGAGCUGGAAGCUGCUGUAGCAUCUAAACCUAAUGUGCUUGAUGGUUUGCUUAUUGUGGGCAUCUGGUUUUGAGCUGGCGUCUGAGUGAGCUGAGCAUGACCAAGUUUUAGCAUAAAUGGCAGUGUGUUCUUGAUGAUGCAGCUUGGUCAGAUUCUGUUACAGGAAAAAACUGGCAGAGUCUGCAAGGAAAAGGAGUACAUCCAGCUGUUGUGCAUCCCUUACAAGAAGCUUCAGGUCCCUUGCUGUUGGAGAUGAAGACAGAGCUGCUCUCUUUGAGGUCAACCUGAUCUGCCAUAUCAGUGACUUAAUGAACAAUUGUUGGUUAGAUGAGUAUGGCAGAGAGGUCUGUAUCUCUUUUCUGUGGGGACUCCUCUGUUUUCUGCCACUUCUGUCCUGUCAAGGUGCUUUCAAAGGGGACACUUAAGAAAUCAAUUGUGGUCGUAUUAAUAUUAGUGCAAACCCAGAAUAAUUUGACUGAAGGUAGAGUUGCUCUGAGUUUAUGCUAGCAUUCUUGUGAUCGAAACUUACUUUUCAGAAAAGUAGCCAAAAAGGAAAGCCAACAAAUUUUUCCCAGCCUCAGAUGCUUCUUGGGAGGAAGCCUGAAGAAUGAAAGUAUGCACAUACUGUAAGAUGCUUCAAUAGCUAAAACUUAUAAAAAGUUGUUUUCCCUCAGAGAUGAGUUGUUACUGCUUGUCUCAUCCUAUGUUGAGGCUUGUUAGGCACAAAUAAAGCUUUUGUAUUGUGAUAGUUUAGAGGUUGUUCUGAACAUAUAUAUAUUAAAGUAGGCAGCUUUGCAGUAGUUGUAAUCUUGGAAAUUAGUUUAAUGAGUUUAGAAAACCACUUUUGGAGUGGAUUGUCAAGGGAACUAUUUAUAUCCUCAGUAAAGCAGUUUUUUCUUCCUCUAAAUUCUGGAAAUGUGGAGAAAUUCCCUGGGUGGACUGUUAUGUAUGAUUAGAUGGAGCUGAAACAAUUAGGUAGUGCCAAAAUUUGUGACAAAAAUGUCUGCUUAGUGUCUUUCUAGAUGUUUUACAAUGUAAGCAAAACUGUAUGCAACACUGGCCAAGUAGCAGGUAUGAAUACUGUGGUAGCAGUCAUCCUGCAAUUGGAGUUCUGUUUAGAUUGAUACAUUAUGGUCUGGUUUCUUUCUUGACUUUAUCUUUGGCAUCCUGCCUUUGCAGCCAGCUGCUCUGUAUUAGUACACAAUAUUAAUCUUAGCUGUUUGCAGGGAACUUGGAUAAGGAUACAAAUGGGGUAAGGAUACAAAUGUUUAGAUGUAAUUUAGUUUGUGUUGCAAGGUAGAUCUGAGUUUACCAGGAAAGCUGUUAUCUUCAGGGGGUGCUAGGGAUUGCCUCUAUGUAGAUUCCCUUGUGUAUAUAAUGUUUUGGUACCUCUUUAUAAGGAUGUUACUUCUGACCCUCUCCUCCACUUUGAAUUUUAAAGAUAAAAUUUAGUUCUGAGUUAGCAUCUGAAAUGAUGUCCGCCCUUUAGUCUACUUCAGUAAACUUCUGAGUUUAUUCAGUUUUUGUGAAGUCCACCUGAGCUGAUGGAAUUGUGUUCUGGGGUUCCUACAGUUGUCAUCUGCCUGUACCACAGUAGCUGGGGGGCUUCUUUCCACUUCUCAAGGCUGAGGUACUGUGUUGUCUUCCAUGUUGCAAGAGCAAUCAGGCAGAAGAUAUUUGAGUCUCUCUAUACCCUUGUAACAGGGUAAAAAAUUUCUAUAAUAAUCCAAUUUGUUUUAGAGCAUCAGGCUGCCCGUCUUUGUGUAGAGCAUAGAUCCUGCAGUCAGCCACUCAAAAGCAUGAUCUAAAGCUGGAAGUGACCCCAAUGAGAGAGAGCUGUAUAUAAAAUAGCUUUCUGACAGCUAAAGCUAUAAAAUAGCUUUGUUCUUAACCCUGACAGCUACUGAAUGCUUUGCAAGGACAAUAAAGUACCUUGUCCUGGUGAAAAAGGAUGAAUGCGCUGCAAUUUAGAUCUUACUAAACAAUGCAAGGCUUCUCAGGACAAAAGGUUCCUCUACUUCAUGUGCUGCAAGGUGGUUGAUAGAGCUGCAUGUGUAAGUGGACCAAAAAUAAAAUUUACUUUCAGAAAAAAAUUAUGACUAACAUUUAAAUUAGGCUUUUCUGUUUCUGGAAAAUGUGGCUAAUAUUCCACAUCAUCUCAUGACCUAACAUGCUGAACACUUCCUAAUGUAUUUCCUAUCUUGUGUGUAUGACAGAAGAAGAAAGUAUGAAUGAGUAUGCUAGUUUCAGGUGGUAGGGGAUUUUGAGAGAGAAGGAAGCAGGAAGCAGUAGGUGGGUUGAGAAAAUGAGGUGGAGAGGAACAUGCUGCAUGUAAAUGAAGUGCUGUAUUCUGCUUCCCUAGAGCAAGCACAGUAAGGCUGUUCUACUGGCAAGAAGAGCUGUUGUUACCUGUGCUGUAAAGACUUUGUUUCGUCUAAGGAGAGGAGUCUUGACUCUGAGGAGUUAGUGUGCUGCUUGACCCCAUCAUAAGAUAAUGUUCUGUAGCAAAUGCUGUGAAGAAUGUGAGCACAACAGCUUCUGGGGAGAAAAAUUGGCAGGAAGGCAAGUAGAAGCAGACUGUGAGACACUUCUUACAAACUGUGCUUAGAAACCAAUCUGUUCUUCUUUAUUGUUCUCUGGUGAAGGGAUGGAUUAUAAAUGGUACAGACGGCCUUGAGGCCUGUGAUAAUACUGUAUCUGUAGCUUUUCCAGUUGGAGGCUUAAACUCUUAAUGUUUUCCAUGCAAAGAAGGAUGAAAAUACAUUUAAAAAAAAGUCUGGAAAUGUACAUGUCAAAACCUCAGCUUCAGGAGCAAACAAUUAUUUAGGCAGGGGAGGAAAGGUAUCUUUAAUUGAAAGAACAAACUUUUAAAAUGUUUUUAAACUUCUUUCCUGCUUUGUUUGUGGUUUGUCCAAGAUAAAUAUUUUAAACUGGAAGUUAUUAAUAUGAAAAUAUCCCCCCCACACUUUGGUCUGUCCUUAAGGUAUAUGCAAAGUCAAACUUACCUUACAAGGCAGUACACUGAAUUCAGUUUUUUUGAUGUUUUGAUUGCAACCUGUUUGUCCAUACAACCAUCAGAAGUUGCAUGGCAUGUGAGCGUCGUACAGGUUCAGUGCACUGCUGAACGAAUGGUACCCUGUUGUCCAACUGAAUGUAAACAUGAAAACAAUGUUCUGCUCCGUUUAUAGCCCAUACAUGUACUCACAAAUUCAAAAGUUUGAAUAAAAUCAUAUGGAACCAGGGUUGGAUGUUGUGCCUUAACUGAUCUCUGCCUCAGCAGAAGCAGCCUCUGCUCUAAAUAUGGUUUCACAUUGUGCAGUUGUUGACAGUGAUUUAUAUUUGCUCGCACUGAGAUCCUCCUGUGACUGGCCUUGUGUAUAUUUGGCAGAUCCAAGAGCCAGAUUCAGCCAUUAAGUAGUUCUGUUCCUUCUGCUUAUCUUCUUUAAAAAAAAAUCUUUUCUUUGCUAAUCUUGUAUUAAAUUUAAGGUAAAUAAUCAGCGAAAUUAAUCAAAGUAGAUUAAAAUGUGAUAUGAUUUUAUGCAAUAAACAAAGAUUGAGUGUCUGGGUAAACCAGUAGGCUGGCUUAACAGGGCCAUCUGCUGGUGGUUGCACUCUCAGGAGGUAACUUCAGAUUUCACUGGAAACAAGUCUAGUUUGGGGAGAGGUUAAUGACUUGAUUCUGACUUGCAAACAACCAUGACUCUGAAAUUAUCGUUGUAAGCUGCUUUGUACUUGUGUCAAUUCCCGACUCUGUAGCAGAACUUAUUACUGUAAAAAUAGAGAACUGCUUGAGUAUAAAUUUAUGCUCCAUUCAAAUGUUAAAUGGGAUGUUUCAUCUGGGAGUAGCAUUAUUGUAGAUUAAGCCACAAUUUAAAACUAUAUUGCAAGGAAGCGUGGGUUUGUGGAUGAAUCUCUCAGAUCAUUAAAUAACAAAUAAUGUUAAUACUCUUUACACAAAAUGUCUACUUAAGGGACAUUUGGUUUAAAAUUACAGAUUAAAUUUCUUAUAAAAAAAAAGCUGAAUGGUGUGGUGUACUGAUUGUUAAAUUUUUUAACUCUAAUAUCGAAAAGGCUUUUGGAUAUAUUUUAUUAUAAGCACUGCAAUUAAUGUAGCAUCAUAAGUGUCUUCUGUAUUCUUCUGUAUGCUCGCUGUCUGCAUGCCCUGUAUGUGGCAGCUCCUGGAUAUAUUUGACUGGAAAGUACUGGUUAUGAUCUAUUCCUUUACAAGUUUAUAAUGAAUAACAUGAAAUAUGUGCAUAGGAAUAAACUAAAUAACACAUGCAAGCAUGCCUCUUGUUUUCUUACUUUGAAAACCUGCGAUUUCCUUUGGAAAGGACACAUUACAAUAAAGGUGCAGGGUUCUUUAAUAUAAGUGAUCUUAUGUGAAUUACUGUGUAUCAAGCUGUGC
Cygnus olor (mute swan) is the source of this 4983-nucleotide long non-coding RNA. RefSeq lists it as uncharacterized. Lineage: Eukaryota; Metazoa; Chordata; Aves; Anseriformes; Anatidae. The transcript has 4 exons. The record is from RefSeq and is a predicted model, not a curated record.